This 370-nucleotide ribosomal RNA is filed under the name uncultured Synergistia bacterium. RNAcentral's name for it is "bacterial SSU rRNA". It matches the Rfam family "Bacterial small subunit ribosomal RNA", at positions 114 to 507 of the family's 1533-position model. Lineage: Bacteria; Thermotogati; Synergistota; Synergistia. The record is from RNAcentral.
CACGUGAGUAGCUGUCCUAGGGAGGGGGAUAACGCCUGGAAACGGGUGCUAAAGCCCCAUAAGCCUCGCAAGAGGUGAAAGUGUACUUGUUACAGCCUUAGGGUGUGCUCGCGGCCUAUCAGCUAGUUGGUGAGGUAAGGGCUCACCAAGGCUAAGACGGGUAGCCGGCCUGAGAGGGUGUACGGCCACACUGGAAUUGAGAUACGGUCCAGACUCCUACGGGAGGCAGCAGUGGGGAAUUUUGGGCAAUGGGCGAAAGCCUGACCCAGCGACGCCGCGUUGGGGAUGAAGUCCUUCGGGGCGUAAACCCAUGUUGUAGGGGAAGAAGAAAGUGACGGUACCCUACGAGAAAGCCCCGGCCAACUACGUG